Molecule: long non-coding RNA, 1294 nt
Organism: Dreissena polymorpha
Lineage: Eukaryota; Metazoa; Mollusca; Bivalvia; Myida; Dreissenidae
Exons: 2
Source: RefSeq, a predicted model, not a curated record
UAUCCUCUGUGCAUGUAGCUUUCAUUGAUAUUGGGUAAGAAAUAUAUAAAUAUAUUACUAAGCAAGUUUAAAAUGCAGUUUUGUCUCAUACUAUUGUUACAUAUAACACAAAAAUUUGAGUAAAUUAUAAACAAUAGAUUUUGCAUACAUUGUGUAAUAAAUUGCAUGAAUUUGGCCAUAUAAUAAAACAAGAGCACCGCAUAACGGGUGCCACGCUCAGCUACGGGUGCAGUUUUAAAUAAAUGAAAGCUUGUCAGAUUAUUUUUUUUACAGGUCACAGUGACCUUGACCUUUGACCUAGUGACCCCAAAAUGGGUGUGGCGUGUAGAACUCAUCAAGGUGCAUCUACAUAAUUAUGAAGUUUCAAAGUUGUAGGUGGAAGCACUUUGAUUUUAAAGCCAAUGUUAAGGUUUUAGCACGACACGAACGUCAGACAGCGAGCUGGCUAUGACAAUACCUCGGGUUUUCUCCGAAAACGCCGAGCUAAAAAACACAUCAGUCUGCUAAAUCAUUCAGCACUGAGGGACGGCGCGUGAUAUUGAUUGUAGUCCCAUCCCAUCCAGAAAAAUAUCAUUGCAACUUCAUUACUGCCUAUGGUAAGGGUCGGUGACGGAGAUUUCAAAGCAGUGCCACUCAGCCUUUCUUCCCUCUGUGGCUCCAAGGGGGUUGUCCUCUCUCUCAUAGGCCCCCACGAUGCAGGCCUCAAUGUCACCAAGGGCUGGGGACGCAAACUGGAAGUUAUCCACAUUGCCCCUGAAAAUACAAACAGAUUGUUAUCAGUCAGGAUUGCAUUUUAAACACCUGAAUAUCUAUACUCAAAUAUAAACUAUUUCAUUCAAUGGAAUAUUUGACUACAAAUAUCUGCAUACGUUCUUAUUUAGUACUUGGACAUGUUAGCCAGAAGCUUUGUAGACAUGCUCAAUGGUUUUGUGUAAUUUUUUAGUAAUGAUGAAAGAGAGGAACUAAAGUUGUGAUUUCAGCCCAUACAUUUAUUUUCCUGUGUGUAUAGUAUAUAUAUUUUCUAUUAACAAAGUCAGUUUUUGUUUAAAAAAUACAUUUAAGUUUUCAAAAAAUGUUGGUAAAUACAUCAAUUAACAACAGCUUUAUUAAAAACAGUUGGCCUUCAUUUUUGAUUCAUAUUCAAACUUUGUAUUAUUGUUAAUCAUUUUAUUUAGGCUCUUCCUUUUCAGGAAGAAUUACAGCUAUGAAAAGAUUUAUUGAGAAUGCCAUGUUUAAAAAUAAAGUUAUGUUUGAAUUUAUGCUAACUUAGACAGUUAUAGAAUAUACAUACUUG